This is a small nuclear RNA of Dipodomys ordii (Ord's kangaroo rat), 108 nucleotides long. Lineage: Eukaryota; Metazoa; Chordata; Mammalia; Rodentia; Heteromyidae. The record is from Ensembl.
GUGCUCACUUCGGCAGCACAUAUACUAAAAAUUGGAAUGAUACAGAGAAAAUUAGCAUGGCCCCUGUGCAGGGAUGACAUGCAAAUUUGUGAAAAGUUUCAUAUUUCU